GAUGAACGCUAGCGACAGGCCUAACACAUGCAAGUCGAGGGGCAGCAUUAUUUUAGCUUGCUAAAUAGAUGGCGACCGGCGCACGGGUGAGUAACGCGUAUGCAACCUACCUCUUACAGGGGAAUAGCCCGAAGAAAUUCGGAUUAAUGCCCCAUGGUUCUUUUUACUGCAUGGUGAAAAAGAUAAAGUUCCGGCGGUAAGAGAUGGGCAUGCGUUCCAUUAGUUAGUUGGUAGGGUAACGCCUACCAAGGCAUCGAUGGAUAGGGGUUCUGAGAGGAUAGUCCCCCACACUGGUACUGAGACACGGACCAGACUCCUACGGGAGCAGCAGUGAGGAAUAUUGGUCAA
RNAcentral lists this ribosomal RNA (348 nucleotides) under uncultured bacterium. RNAcentral describes it as "bacterial SSU rRNA". It matches the Rfam family "Bacterial small subunit ribosomal RNA", at positions 28 to 371 of the family's 1533-position model. The record is from RNAcentral.